GAUUGCAAAAUGUCCUCUUGGUCUGAAGCUAUACGUAGCCUUGUUCAUAAACUGAAUAACUUUUCUCGCCCAGGUUCCUGUAAGUCCCUUUGCAAACCAUUCCUUGUUGAUGGUGUCCAAGUGGGUUAUAUUUCACCAAAAAUUGCCAGUUAUUUAAAGUCUUAUGAUGAAGUAUUUGAAAUGGUUCCGGGAACCAGUGGUGAAAUACGUCAUGUUACUUUGGCUCCAGGACUUAAGACUUUUACAGAAAGAAGUCAAAAGGUUGCUGAGGUUAUGAACAGUCUGAGAUUAAAAGAUGUGUUCAGCACUUUAAGAGGAUGGAGAAAUGAGAUGUACCCUGUGAUGGCUUCCUUUGAUACCAAACCAUGCUUUAUGAUGGAAAGGUCAGCAACUUUAAACAACACUGAUUGCACUGGGAAGAAUAAUCAACCAGAAGAGGUAAAAGGGAAAGAGAAGUUCACACUGGGAGGAGGGGCACUGGGCUACAAAGCAAGAGGAGAAACAAGUUUGCUAGGAACUGUGCAGUAUGGUGUUCAUGUGAAUGGAUAUUGUAUAGAUGAAAAUGGGAAAAUGUUAAUGUGGAUAGCAAGAAGAAGUCCUACAAAACAAACCUGGCCUGGCAAACUUGAUCAGAUUGUGGCAGGAGGUAUAAUCUGUGGUGAAGGAAUUCAGGAGACACUUAUAAGAGAAUGUGCAGAAGAGGCAUCAAUACCACAAGAACUUGCUAAAGCAGCUUCUUCAGCUGGUUGUGUCAGCUACUUCUUUGAGGAUGAGAGAGGAUUGUUUCCUGAAGUCCAGUUUGUUUGGGAUUUGAAGCUGCCUCGUGAUUUUCAACCAAUCAACAGUGAUGGGGAAGUUGGUGAAUUUUAUUGCUGGCCUAUGGCCAAGGUACAUGUAGUGUGUGAAGGCAAGAAUAGCAACUGAGGAAUUUAAGCCUAACUGCGCUCUUGUAGUUCUUGACUUUAUGGUCCGUCAUGGCUUUGUUACACCAGACAGUGAACCUCAUUUUGUUGAAUUUGUUCUUGGUUCUCACAGCAGUCUCCUCUAAUAUGCAAAAUAAAUGAAUAUGCAAAAGUGAACCAUCGUAAUGAGGGCACCCCUAAGUGUACGUAUACAAGGAAGAUAGGAGAAAUGGCAGGGAAAGAAGUACUGGAGUCUUAUAAGAAUCUAUUUGAUCAUCUAUAUGUGUAUUCUUGACUGUUUUUUUUUUUUUACAAAAUAAAGUGGACUUCAGUCCUCACUCUUUAGUGCAGUGAUUUCAAGAGUGUGCGACAUGAGCU
RNA transcript from Stylophora pistillata, 1280 nucleotides. RefSeq lists it as uncharacterized. Lineage: Eukaryota; Metazoa; Cnidaria; Anthozoa; Scleractinia; Pocilloporidae. The record is from RefSeq and is a predicted model, not a curated record.